GGAACAAGUCGGGCAAUCGCUUUUGUGAUUAAAGACAAAAGAGGAAAGUCCGAACACUAAAGGGCGGCGAGCCGGAUAACAACCGGGCGUUCGGUUUACCGAACGACGACAAGUGCAACAGAGAAUAGACCAGCCAAUCCGAUUUGGAAUGUAAUAGUUUGAAUUUGGAUUGGUGAUGGGUGAAACGGUGCGGUUCUUUUUGAGCUUAAAGUAAGAGCGCACCAGCGCAUUUGGUAACAAGUGCGGCUGGGUAAACUCCUCGCAGUGCAAGACCAAAUAGGGAAACGCUUAUGAGUUGCCCGCUCAAUCUUCUAGAGAAAUUUAGAAAAUGUUUCCGGGUAGGUCGCUUGAGCUGUUUGGCAACAUACAGCCUAGAUGAAUGAUUGCCAUCUGUUUUUUUUGACAGAUACAAAAUUCGGCUUAUAGACUUGUUCAUUUU
Molecule: RNase P RNA, 439 nt
Filed under: Acidobacteriota bacterium
Lineage: Bacteria; Pseudomonadati; Acidobacteriota
Description: RNase P RNA component class A
Rfam family: Bacterial RNase P class A
About the family: Ribonuclease P (RNase P) is a ubiquitous endoribonuclease, found in archaea, bacteria and eukarya as well as chloroplasts and mitochondria. Its best characterised activity is the generation of mature 5'-ends of tRNAs by cleaving the 5'-leader elements of precursor-tRNAs.
Source: RNAcentral